Long non-coding RNA from Mercenaria mercenaria, 1721 nucleotides. RefSeq lists it as uncharacterized. The record is from RefSeq and is a predicted model, not a curated record. The transcript is spliced from 6 exons. Lineage: Eukaryota; Metazoa; Mollusca; Bivalvia; Venerida; Veneridae.
AAUCUGUUAAUAUUUGUUUGAUUUAAUUUUUAUUUUAAUAGAUCUAUAAUCAAUGUUAAUGGUAACUGCAUAAUUAGUUUUACAUCAUUUUAAUAAUUUCAUAAUAAAUAUCAUAAACUUUUUUGUAUAAAAACGUUAGUAAAUAAAAUAAGUAUUUAAACUUGAUUUACCUAUUUUUAAAAUGGAAUGAAACCGUCCAUGAUGCUGAAUUUGCACGUCACAGCGGGUGGCACGCGCUGCUUAUCGGCACGCGCUUGAUGACAGGAAGUAUCGCUGAAACAUCAAAGGUGACCUUGAUAUUGUCCACCGACACGGGUGACGAAUAGUAUAUCGAAGGACCAAUUAUUGGCAAUUAGGCGCCGCUAAUGAAUUAUUAUCAUUUAACUUAGAAAUCAUCAUGGAGAUCAGACGUGUGCUUGUUUUGCUGAUUUGUUCGACCUUCUGUCUUGCUUAUUUUCCACAGGAAGAGCAUCCAAAUGGUGAUACCCUGUUGAGCUGUUUUCUUUCUGCAGAAGUUGUUACAACAGACCCUGUUGAAAGUUCUUUCACUGAUUCAGAUAUGGUCCACAUGUCGUUUCUAUAUGUAGGACAUACGCACGAAGACAUUGAUGCCUCAUUCAGUAAGAUCUCAGAAAAACUUAGAACGACAGAUGCAGAAACAGUUCCCCAAUUACUGAAUCUAGUAAGAAACAUUGAAGAUUUAAGUACACUGAAACACUGGGAUGUUAAGUCAUGGCUAGAAUCUUCACUAACAAAAGUAAAAGGCGUCAGUGAACCGUUACAUUUUAAAAUUACGAAAACAUCUGGAAAAAUAAAGGUUGUUUAUAAAGGGCAACAGCAUCAGUUAUGGACUGUGUUAGAUGGCAGAGGUACUUUUCUCAGAAAUCUACCAACUUCAAAAAUAAAACAGUUAAAACCAAACUAUAAAAACAUUCUAGAAAAAAUUGAGACAGUUAAAAAACAAAUCAGUGCAAUUAGUUACAUGUUUGAAAGCAGUGAAAAUCAUCUUUAGUGGAAAGCAUUUUUGGAGAAAAAAAAUACAGUGAUGCCAAUGAGAACAAAAGAGGACAUUAUAUGGAUUACCCAACUACCAAAACAGCAAAAAAAACAACAAAGAAACAUUAAAGACAACCUGGAUCCAAUACUUAGAAAGAUGUUGGAAAAGGAAACACUAAAAGUAGACCUGUGUUAUCCUGUGAAAAAAGACGAAAUUUAAAAACUAGCCGUGGGAAGCAGAAGUCGAAAAAAACAGAGCGUAUCCACGGAGGAAGAAGUGGUGUUAACCGUCAAAGCACUGUAGUACAGGUCAAUAGAAAAAAAACUAAAUCAACAACACCAGCAGUGCCAAAGAGAAACAGACAAACAGGAAGGCGAAUCAUGAGAUGGAAUAGCUCAAGAUGGAUCACCAUACUCACCGAUGAUGAGAAGAAAAGACACAUAGGGUUGAUAAUCAUCUUCGAACUUCUGGGACAUUUACUACUGUACAUUAUCUAUGUUUUAAUAAUGACCAGAUGUAUCAAAGAACUUUUUGUUAUGAUGGACAGAGUUUGGAAAGCUAUUUUGUUAGCACACUUGGGUCAAUUUCUGUGUGUUCUUACAGUAAACACAUACUUGGAACACUUUUGUUUUGUGUUUUGUAAUGUUAAAAAGUCAUUUCCGUGCAGUUUAUUGGUUUCGUAUCCUUCCAGGCAUUCACUUAGUAUUACGCAAUAAACAGAUCA